Long non-coding RNA from Gavialis gangeticus (Gharial), 191 nucleotides. RefSeq lists it as uncharacterized. Lineage: Eukaryota; Metazoa; Chordata; Crocodylia; Gavialidae. The transcript has 3 exons. The record is from RefSeq and is a predicted model, not a curated record.
CAGCCACCGAGGGUGGGGAUGUCCCACAAGGGUCAAUGACCCCUGGAUUGGUCAAGCCAGAAAACUGGGGAUUCACCAAAGUCUGCCAAAGACAGAUAAAAGGCAGUGAAGAGUAACCCUCAAUGGCGCCCUCUUGAGCUUCAACUUGCCCAGCACCCAACCUGUCCAGCUACAAAGACCAGCCAGCAACC